This 433-nucleotide ribosomal RNA is filed under the name uncultured bacterium. RNAcentral describes it as "partial 16S ribosomal RNA". It matches the Rfam family "Bacterial small subunit ribosomal RNA", at positions 29 to 507 of the family's 1533-position model. The record is from RNAcentral.
AGCGAACGCUGGCGGCAGGCCUAACACAUGCAAGUCGAACGGAUCCUUCGGGAUUAGCGGCGGACGGGUGAGUAACACGUGGGAACGUGCCCUUUGGUUCGGAACAACUCAGGGAAACUUGAGCUAAUACCGGAUGUGCCCUUCGGGGGAAAGAUUUAUCGCCAUUGGAGCGGCCCGCGUCUGAUUAGCUAGUUGGUGAGGUAACAGCCCACCAAGGCGACGAUCAGUAGCUGGUCUGAGAGGAUGAUCAGCCACACUGGGACUGAGACACGGCCCAGACUCCUACGGGAGGCAGCAGUGGGGAAUCUUGCGCAAUGGGCGAAAGCCUGACGCAGCCAUGCCGCGUGAAUGAUGAAGGUCUUAGGAUUGUAAAAUUCUUUCAGCGGGGACGAUAAUGACGGUACCCGCAGAAGAAGCUCCGGCUAACUUCGUG